Molecule: ribosomal RNA, 256 nt
Filed under: uncultured bacterium
Lineage: Bacteria
Description: partial 16S ribosomal RNA
Rfam family: Bacterial small subunit ribosomal RNA
Source: RNAcentral
UACGUAGGGUGCAAGCGUUGUCCGGAAUUAUUGGGCGUAAAGAGCUCGUAGGCGGUCUGUCGCGUCGGGAUGUGAAAAUCCAGGGCUCAACCCUGGACCUGCAUUCGAUACGGGGCAGACUAGAGUUCGGUAGGGGGAGACUGGAAUUCCUGGUGUAGCGGUGAAAUGCGCAGAUAUCAGGAGGAACACCGGUGGCGAAGGCGGGUCUCUGGGCCGAAACUGACGCUGAGACGCGAAAGCGUGGGGAGCAAACAGG